UACGAAGGGGGCUAGCGUUGCUCGGAAUUACUGGGCGUAAAGGGAGCGUAGGCGGACACUUAAGUCAGAGGUGAAAUCCCGGAGCUUAACUUCGGAACUGCCUUUGAUACUGGGUGUCUUGAGUGUGAGAGAGGUAUGUGGAACUCCGAGUGUAGAGGUGAAAUUCGUGGAUAUUCGGAAGAACACCAGUGGCGAAGGCGACAUACUGGCUCAUUACUGACGCUGAGGCUCGAAAGCGUGGGGAGCAAACAGG
This 253-nucleotide ribosomal RNA is filed under the name uncultured bacterium. RNAcentral describes it as "partial 16S ribosomal RNA". It matches the Rfam family "Bacterial small subunit ribosomal RNA", at positions 524 to 776 of the family's 1533-position model. The record is from RNAcentral.